CAGUAGCCGCGGUAAUACGAAGGGGGCUAGCGUUGCUCGGAAUGACUGGGCGUAAAGGGCGCGUAGGCGGAUUGCGCAGUCAGAUGUGAAAUUCCUGGGCUUAACCUGGGGGCUGCAUUUGAGGCGCGUAGUCUAGAGUGUGAAAGAGGGUAGUGGAAUUUCCGCGUGUAGCAGUGAAAUGCGUAGAUAUGCGGAGGAACACCGAUGGCGAAGGCAAUCCCCUGGACCUGUACUGACGCUCACGCACGAAAGCGUGGGGAGCAAACAGGAUUAGAGACCCCUGUAGUCCCUGUCUCUUAUU
Molecule: ribosomal RNA, 301 nt
Filed under: uncultured bacterium
Lineage: Bacteria
Description: partial 16S ribosomal RNA
Rfam family: Bacterial small subunit ribosomal RNA
Source: RNAcentral